UAGGGAAUCUUCCACAAUGGACGAAAGUCUGAUGGAGCAACGCCGCGUGAGUGAUGAAGGUUUUCGGAUCGUAAAACUCUGUUGUAAGGGAAGAACCAGUACGUCAGGCAAUGGACGUACCUUGACGGUACCUUAUUAGAAAGCCACGGCUAACUACGUGCCAGCAGCCGCGGUAAUACGUAGGUGGCAAGCGUUGUCCGGAAUUAUUGGGCGUAAAGCGCGCGCAGGUGGUUUCUUAAGUNUGAUGUGAAAGCCCNCGGCUUAACCGUGGAGGGUCAUUGGAAACUGGGAGACUUGAGUGCAGAAGAGGAAAGUGGAAUUCCAAGUGUAGCGGUGAAAUGCGUAGAGAUUUGGAGGAACACCAGUGGCGAAGGCGACUUUCUGGUCUGCAACUGACGCUGAGGCGCGAAAGCAUGGGGAGCAAACAGGAUUAGAUACCCUGGUAGUCCAUGCCGUAAACGAUGAGUGCUAAGUGUUAGGGGGUUUCCGCCCCUUAGUGCUGCAGCUAACGCAUUAAGCACUCCGCCUGGGGAGUACGACCGCAAGGUUG
Molecule: ribosomal RNA, 550 nt
Filed under: uncultured Bacillus sp.
Lineage: Bacteria; Bacillati; Bacillota; Bacilli; Caryophanales; Bacillaceae
Description: bacterial SSU rRNA
Rfam family: Bacterial small subunit ribosomal RNA
Source: RNAcentral